GCGGAAGGAUCAUUAUUGAAUCAAACUCUGGCAAGAUUGUUGCUGGCCCAUAGGGCAUGUGCACAUCUGUAUUAUUGCCAGCUUUUGUUCAUAUUUUNCUGUGCAUCUUUGUAGGCACCUUGGAUUGAGAGACUUUCACUGGUUUCUUGCUGACAGAAAUGUUAUCAAGGUGUCUAUGCCUUUUGUACAAAUUCCAAUGCAUGUCUUAUAGAAUGGAUAUAGGCUUUUGUUCUUCAUAAGCCUUUUGAGCAAAGUUUAAAUACAACUUUCAACAAUGGAUCUCUUGGCUCUUGCAUCGAUGAAGAACGCAGCGAAAUGCGAUAAGUAAUGUGAAUUGCAGAAUUCAGUGAAUCAUUGAAUAUUUGAACGCAUCUUGCACUCCUUGGUAUUCUGAGGAGUAUGCCUGUUUGAGUGUCAUUUAAAUUCUCAAAAUCCUCUCAGAAUCUUGGGAGGUGUUUUGGACAUUGGGAGUUGCAGGUCUURUGAAGGCCAGCUCUCCUCAAAUGAAUUAGUAGAGGAAAGUACAGUGUUCUUCUCCAUUGAUGUGAUACAAUUGUCUACACCAGGAAAAGAUACCUUUUGUCCUCUGCUUUCUAAUUAACCAUUCAUUGGUUAGUAUGUCUUUGAGACAUAAUUGACACACUUGACCUCAAA
This 654-nucleotide ribosomal RNA is filed under the name Amanita aff. volvata TENN61187. RNAcentral's name for it is "eukaryotic LSU rRNA". The stretch from base 264 to 417 matches the Rfam family "5.8S ribosomal RNA". The record is from RNAcentral. Lineage: Eukaryota; Fungi; Basidiomycota; Agaricomycetes; Agaricales; Amanitaceae.